GUUUUAUGAUGACAUAGGACCUUGUCUCACCAUAAGGAUAUCAAAAGUUGAGGUUAGAUUAAUUCUGAAAUC
Molecule: small nucleolar RNA, 72 nt
Organism: Meriones unguiculatus (Mongolian gerbil)
Lineage: Eukaryota; Metazoa; Chordata; Mammalia; Rodentia; Muridae
Source: Ensembl